Molecule: small RNA, 131 nt
Filed under: Marmota monax (woodchuck)
Lineage: Eukaryota; Metazoa; Chordata; Mammalia; Rodentia; Sciuridae
Source: RNAcentral
GCUGGGCACGGUGACUCAUGCCUGUAAUCCCAGGCAUGGGAUUACGGGAGGCUGAGACAGGAGAAUCUCGAGUUGAAAGCCAGCCUCGGCAAAAUCGAGGCACUAAGCAACUCAGUGAGACCCUGUCUCUA